This 524-nucleotide ribosomal RNA is filed under the name uncultured eukaryote. Its description in RNAcentral is "bacterial SSU rRNA". It matches the Rfam family "Eukaryotic small subunit ribosomal RNA", at positions 318 to 920 of the family's 1831-position model. The record is from RNAcentral.
ACUUUGGAUGGUAGUAUAGAGGACUACCAUGGUGAUAACGGGUAACGGAGAAUUAGGGUUCGAUUCCGGAGAGGGAGCCUGAGAAAUGGCUACCACUUCUAAGGAGGGCAGCAGGCGCGCAAAAUUACCCCAAUCCUAAUACGGGGAGGUAGUGACAAUAAAUAACAAUGCUGGGUCUAUGACUUAGUAAUUGGAAUGAGAACAAUUUAAACCCCUUAUCGAGUAACCAUCAGAGGGCAAGUCUGGUGCCAGCAGCCGCGGUAAUUCCAGCUCCAAUAGCGUAUAUUAAAGUUGCUGCAGUUAAAAAGCUCGUAGUUGAACUUCAUGAGCAGUAGGUAGCUUACUACCUGCUCUCUACCAGUCUUUCGACUGUUACUGUGAGAAAAUUAGAGUGUUUCAAGCAGGCUAUUGCAGGAAUACAUUAGCAUGGAAUAACGAAUGUACCUACAAUUUGGUUAAUUGUAGAUUACUAUUAAUAGGGACAGUUGGGGGCAUUAGUAUUUAAUUGUCAGAGGUGAAAUUCU